CCUACGGGAGGCAGCAGUGGGGAAUAUUGCACAAUGGGCGCAAGCCUGAUGCAGCCAUGCCGCGUGUGUGAAGAAGGCCUUCGGGUUGUAAAGCACUUUCAGUCGUGAGGAAGGUGUGUAGUUAAUAGCUGCAU
Molecule: ribosomal RNA, 134 nt
Filed under: uncultured Vibrio sp.
Lineage: Bacteria; Pseudomonadati; Pseudomonadota; Gammaproteobacteria; Vibrionales; Vibrionaceae
Description: partial 16S ribosomal RNA
Rfam family: Bacterial small subunit ribosomal RNA
Source: RNAcentral